Molecule: long non-coding RNA, 1166 nt
Filed under: Macaca mulatta (Rhesus monkey)
Lineage: Eukaryota; Metazoa; Chordata; Mammalia; Primates; Cercopithecidae
Description: lncRNA (ENSMMUG00000061105.1)
Source: RNAcentral
AUGGUCGCCCAUCUUGGAACCUCACUUGCCCGCUGCCCAGACCUGGCAAAGUCAGUUUCAUCUACUGAGUCUAGAAGGAUCCCUUGGGCUGAGCUCACCAAGCAAGGACAGGCACUGGGCUUUGGAGUUAACCCUUCUGCAGCCCCUUCGGUCCUGGUUGUCCAGUGGAGGAGACACCAGGCAGCAGAUGGUUUAACCAAUCAGGUGGGGCACAGCUGUAAAGACAGAGAGACCUGGUGGAAGCGAGGAGCGGAAAUAGAAUGCACCUGUGACCUUGUUUCUUCUUCUGGGACACGUAUUUUAGGAAGGGCAUUGACAAAUUGAUGCAUUAAACGAGAUCCAGGGCCAGGUGCGGUGGCUCACACCUGUAAUCCUAGUACUUUGGGAGGCCGAUGCAGGUGGACUGCCUGAGGUCAGGAGUUAGAGACCACCUUGGGCAACAUAGUGAAACCCUGUCUCUCCUAAAAAAAAAAAAAAAGAAAGAAAGAAAGAAAAAAAUCUAGCCAGAUGUGGUGGUGCGUGCCUAUAAUCCUAGCUACUUGUGAGGCUGAGGCAGGAGAAUCUCUUGAACCCGGGAGACGCAGAUUGCAGUGAGUCGAGAUUGUACCACUGUACUCCAGCCUGGGUGACAGAGUGAGACUCCGUUUCAAAAAAAAAAAAAAAAAGAUCCAGUGAUAAGUCUAAUAACUACCCUAUUUUGAAGUAAAGGCAGCCAUAUUUAUUGAUGAACUGGUCACAGGUGCUGCUAAACUUCCUCUGGAAUGUUCUGUACCUCCAUCAUGGGAAGAAGCGCUGCAUUAGGUGACGGGCUGGUUGGAAUAAAGGAGCAAGUUUCCCCCGUUCUAUUUCAUGGGCUCCCUUCUCCUCCGGCUUCUCCCUUCUCCAUAGAUCUCUUGGGAAUCUGUGGACUCAGCUCAAGAAAUCCUGUAUUGGCUGGGAGUGGUGGCUCAUGCCUGUAAUUCCAACACUUAAAAAAAGUUUUUUCAAGCCAGGCAUGGUGGUUCAUGCCUGUAAUCCCAGCAAUUUCGGAGGCUGAGGUGGGCAGAUCACAAGAUCAGGAGUUCAAGACCAGCCUGGCCAACAUGGUGAAACCCUGUCUCUAUUAAAAUAGAAAAAUUAGCCAGGUGUGGUGGCUCACACCUGUAAUCCCAGCACUUUGGGAGGCU